UCGGCUUAGAGUUUGAUCAUGGCUCAGGAUGAACGCUGGCGGCGUGCCUAAUACAUGCAAGUCGAACGCAAAGGUGCUUGCACCUUUGAGUGGCGAACGGGUGAGUAACACGUGGACAACCUGCCUCAAGGCUGGGGAUAACAUUUGGAAACAGAUGCUAAUACCGAAUAAAACUCAGUCGCAUGACCAAAGUUAAAAGGCGUUUGCGUCACCUAGAGAUGGAUCCGCGGUGCAUUAGUUAGUUGGUGGGGUAAAGGCCUACCAAGACAAUGAUGCAUAGCCGAGUUGAGAGACUGAUCGGCCACAUUGGGACUGAGACACGGCCCAAACUCCUACGGGAGGCUGCAGUAGGGAAUCUUCCACAAUGGGCGAAAGCCUGAUGGAGCAACGCCGCGUGUGUGAUGAAGGCUUUCGGGUCGUAAAGCACUGUUGUAUGGGAAGAACAGCUAGAAUGAAUAUUUUAGUUUGACGGUACCAUACCAGAAAGGGACGGCUAAAUACGUGCCAGCAGCCGCGGUAAUACGUAUGUCCCGAGCGUUAUCCGGAUUUAUUGGGCGUAAAGCGAGCGCAGACGGUUGAUUAAGUCUGAUGUGAAAGCCCGGAGCUCAACUCCGGAAUGGCAUUGGAAACUGGUUAACUUGAGUGCAGUAGAGGUAAGUGGAACUCCAUGUGUAGCGGUGGAAUGCGUAGAUAUAUGGAAGACACCAGUGGGGAAGCGGCUUACUGGACUGUAACUGACGUUGAGGCUCGAAAGUGUGGGGAGCAAACAGG
This 771-nucleotide ribosomal RNA is filed under the name uncultured Leuconostoc sp. RNAcentral's name for it is "bacterial SSU rRNA". It matches the Rfam family "Bacterial small subunit ribosomal RNA", at positions 1 to 776 of the family's 1533-position model. Lineage: Bacteria; Bacillati; Bacillota; Bacilli; Lactobacillales; Lactobacillaceae. The record is from RNAcentral.